GGAGAGGUCGCCUAGUCCGGCUUAUGGCGCGCGCUUGGAAAGCGCGUAGGUGGGAAACUGCCUCGAGAGUUCAAAUCUCUCCCUCUCCGCCA
RNAcentral lists this transfer RNA (92 nucleotides) under Candidatus Omnitrophota bacterium. Its description in RNAcentral is "tRNA-Ser". It matches the Rfam family "tRNA". Rfam says of the family: Transfer RNA (tRNA) molecules are approximately 80 nucleotides in length. Their secondary structure includes four short double-helical elements and three loops (D, anti-codon, and T loops). Lineage: Bacteria; Pseudomonadati; Candidatus Omnitrophota. The record is from RNAcentral.